UCCAUCCGUCCACCCGCUAGAGUAACUGCCCUUUAUCAAAGGGAAGCUACUCUAACCGUUACAUGUUGUUUAGAGAGUGGUUUUGCUGUCACAACGUAACGAAUGACAAGGUGAGAUGGACACACAGCGUGAAAAUAAAACAAGAUGGACAAAUGACAUGGUCAGGUUCCAGCAUUGCCCCUCGAUUUGGAUUUAAAACGAGCAGACAAACAUAGGUAUUCACGGAUAUGGCAAAAUGUUUCAAAUGGAAGAAGAAAAAACAUUCAGGCUGUUUUAACCAUACUGAAUAUUUACACGAAUUCCACACUCUCAUAAAGGCAGGAAACAUUAACACUGCUUUAGCCUUGAUGAAGUCUUCCAAAAUCACUCCGAAGAAUUACUAUAAAAAGUAUCGCGGGAAGAUACGUGCUGUAGGGUGUGCUGUCAAAAGUGGUGAUUUAGAUGUCGUGGAAAGGUUGCUUUCUUUGGGCUUCAAAGUUGACGACAAUUGCAAUACCAGGUAUGGUGGCUUGUUCCCCCUUUACAUAGCAGUGCAAGAAAAGAACGUGGAUAUGGUGGAGCUGUUAUGUACUCAUGGUGCACACCUAGAUGCAGGCUGUUUCCUUGAUGACAAAGAUCCACUUGCCUUGGCCAUUCGAGAAAACUGUGCCGACAUUGUCCGCUACAUGUUGAUAGAACUCAAUAUCCAACUAAUCCAUACUGAGGGAUUUGCUUCAUUCAAACCUCUUGGGAAUAAUCCUGAUAAAAUUGACGUCGAAAGACGGAACAAUACGGUUCGUAUUCUGGUCAGCGCUGGCUAUGACCCACUGGAGGAAGUGGUUACAACUGAAGGUCCACAACAAACCCAAGUCAAAAGGUAUGUUAAUUUGAACCCUCGAGCUGGUGAACCUCGGAGUCUACUGGACCUCUGCUGUAUAAAUAUUCGUCGUAGAUUGGGAAUGAGGCUAUGCACAACUGUCGACGGUCUUCCUCUGCCAGAAUCAGUAAAGGACAAACUUAAACUCAAUCACAUCUUGACGUUUCCAUUCAGUGAAACAAGUGCUGAUUAAGUGUUACCUUUGUCCAUUGGAAUGGACUUUAUGUACCAUAUACCUCAAAGGCGUGACAAAUAGCAGUCCUAGAAAGUUUGAUUCAAAUAGCUUCCAAUCGGUGUCACAUGGAUUUAAACUUCUUUUUUGUUUCAAAGACUAGACUUUAGGAUGAUUUUGAAAGAAUGUGUUGAAAUCAAUAACCCAGCCCUGUAUUCAUUGAAACUACAGCUCCUGAGUUUCCAUUAAAAGAUGUCGUUACAAAACCAAACGUGUUAGUCUGAUAAAUAAAACAGAUAUGAGUACCCUAACAGCGUGCCACCAGUGGUCCAAUCGUCCAAGGCGCCACAAUUCGAUGAGCAAAGUUGCAAAAAUCUAUGCGGAUUGUGGGUUCGCCCUUCAGUAUGUAUAAAGAUAAUAUACCACACCCAUGUCAUACCCUGUACCUGUUCUAUUGGCUUGGGGAGAUAAUGCCACGCCCAAUAUUUAUCCCACCCUGCACGUGCCCUAUUGCAUGUGUGAAGUUAGUAUUAUAUACCACACAAAAUCUUUGUUUUGGACAGUACAUGAUGUCAUACAGGUACAGUAAACUACGUUUGUAACGAACACGCAUAUAACGAACUGAAUGUAUAUCCACACAAACUUGUGCAAAUUGUUUUGCUGUGACCAGUCAGUAAAAUAAACAGUGGCCUGAGA
Molecule: long non-coding RNA, 1724 nt
Organism: Haliotis rufescens (red abalone)
Lineage: Eukaryota; Metazoa; Mollusca; Gastropoda; Lepetellida; Haliotidae
Exons: 2
Source: RefSeq, a predicted model, not a curated record